UAUUCAUUUAUUCGUUCAAAUCAUGGCUGGCAUCACACAGCCAAGGCUGUCGAUCUAGUUGUGACUAUUAAUAAUUAUUAUCAAGGGCUAACCUUUAACAAUUUGAACACUGUUCAGUAACUGACAGUUGUUUGGUCACUAAUUUGAUGACUAUUAUAUUUAAGGUAUGGAUUUAAGUCACGGUGUGUAUGUAUUAAAUUCAGGGAUGGCUGGAUCUGAUUGUGUCAUUAUUUCCCUUUUUAUAUGCCUCCAGUACAGCUGCAGUAGAUACCUCCUUCAGACAUGCAGCACAAGUUGUGAGGGUGGAUAGCCAGAAGUAAAGCAAGCAUCAGCCAGAAGACUUCAAAGUUUAGCUGCUGAGUACUUCAAUGCUGCUACACACUCCAUAGGACCUGACUCACCACACAAAGGACUCCAAACUCAUGCCAAGAAGUUCAGCAUUCAGACACAGAAGAAGGCAGCCUGUGCUUGUUUGGACCCUACACGGAGUGCUUCGCAGCAGUGGACUUGAAUAUAGAUGACAAGAGGAUGUCUGUACGCAGUUCCACAGAAUGUACUAGUAACUCAGGUGUUCACAGUUUGGCUGGACUUUAAAAGUUUACUCAUCUGUAUUUCAAUAUCUUUAUUGACAACAA
Molecule: long non-coding RNA, 635 nt
Organism: Branchiostoma floridae (Florida lancelet)
Lineage: Eukaryota; Metazoa; Chordata; Leptocardii; Amphioxiformes; Branchiostomatidae
Exons: 2
Source: RefSeq, a predicted model, not a curated record